CUAUAAUGCCCACCUGAUAUGAGAAUGGAGACUUUGGGGGGAAAGAAAGAGCAAGGUAGCAUUGGUUGCAGGCCUCAGAUCAUUAUUGGAACCCUAAAUGAGUUUGAUCAGAGGCAGGUUAGGGUUGGGGGUCCAGAAGACAAGGCAGAACAAGUCAGAGUUGUUAACACUGGCUCCAAGCUUAGGUCUUUUUGGACAUGCCCUAGAGUAAGCUCAGCACCCUGUACUUUCCACCUUGACUUCCAGUCUAGCACUAGUCAUAAAACAUGAUGGGAGGCAUCUUUUCCUUGACAGUUUAUAAGCAUGACCCUUGUAGUCUCCCAGGUAGGGGUGGGGGGAUGUCUCUCACCACCCAGAGAAAGGG
Molecule: long non-coding RNA, 364 nt
Filed under: Bos taurus (domestic cattle)
Lineage: Eukaryota; Metazoa; Chordata; Mammalia; Artiodactyla; Bovidae
Description: long non-coding RNA NONBTAT026643
Source: RNAcentral